AGAGUUUGAUCCUGGCUCAGAACGAACGCUGGCGGCGUGGAUAAGACAUGCAAGUCGAACGAGAGAAUUGCUAGCUUGCUAAUAAUUCUCUAGUGGCGCACGGGUGAGUAACACGUGAGUAACCUGCCCCCGAGAGCGGGAUAGCCCUGGGAAACUGGGAUUAAUACCGCAUAGUAUCGAAAGAUUAAAGCAGCAAUGCGCUUGGGGAUGGGCUCGCGGCCUAUUAGUUAGUUGGUGAGGUAACGGCUCACCAAGGCGAUGACGGGUAGCCGGUCUGAGAGGAUGUCCGGCCACACUGGAACUGAGACACGGUCCAGACACCUACGGGUGGCAGCAGUCGAGAAUCAUUCACAAUGGGGGAAACCCUGAUGGUGUGACGCCGCGUGGGGGAAUGAAGGUCUUCGGAUUGUAAACCCCUGUCAUGUGGGAGCAAAUUAAAAAGAUAGUACCACAAGAGGAAGAGACGGCUAACUCUGUGCCAGCAGCCGCGGCAAUACAGAGGUCUCAAGCGUUGUUCGGAAUCACUGGGCGUAAAGCGUGCGUAGGCUGUUUCGUAAGUCGUGUGUGAAAGGCGCGGGCUCAACCCGCGGACGGCACAUGAUACUGCGAGACUAGAGUAAUGGAGGGGGAACCGGAAUUCUCGGUGUAGCAGUGAAAUGCGUAGAUAUCGAGAGGAACACUCGUGGCGAAGGCGGGUUCCUGGACAUUAACUGACGCUGAGGCACGAAGGCCAGGGGAGCGAAAGGGAUUAGAUACCCCUGUAGUCCUGGCAGUAAACGGUGCACGCUUGGUGUGCGGGGAAUCGACCCCCUGCGUGCCGGAGCUAACGCGUUAAGCGUGCCGCCUGGGGAGUACGGUCGCAAGAUUAAAACUCAAAGAAAUUGACGGGGACCCGCACAAGCGGUGGAGUAUGUGGCUUAAUUCGAUGCAACGCGAAGAACCUUACCUGGGCUUGACAUGUAAUGAACAACAUGUGAAAGCAUGCGACUCUUCGGAGGCGUUACACAGGUGCUGCAUGGCCGUCGUCAGCUCGUGUCGUGAGAUGUUUGGUUAAGUCCAGCAACGAGCGCAACCCCUGUUGCCAGUUACCAGCACGUGAAGGUGGGGACUCUGGCGAGACUGCCCAGAUCAACUGGGAGGAAGGUGGGGACGACGUCAGGUCAGUAUGGCCCUUAUGCCCAGGGCUGCACACGUACUACAAUGCCCAGUACAGAGGGGGCCGAAGCCGCGAGGCGGAGGAAAUCCUGAAAACUGGGCCCAGUUCGGACUGUAGGCUGCAACCCGCCUACACGAAGCCGGAAUCGCUAGUAAUGGCGCAUCAGCUACGGCGCCGUGAAUACGUUCCCGGGUCUUGCACUCACCGCCCGUCA
This 1370-nucleotide ribosomal RNA is filed under the name uncultured bacterium. RNAcentral describes it as "bacterial SSU rRNA". It matches the Rfam family "Bacterial small subunit ribosomal RNA". The record is from RNAcentral.